UAAUAAGCGGUUCGGACCCGGGGGCGGUACCCGGCGGCUCCACCAAACAUCCUUCAUUUGGGGAUCAUGGGGCCGAAAUAGGAUCGACGAACGUCUAAAGGGGUUGCUUUGUUUCGGUGAGAUACCACCGUUAUCGGUUCAAACUGUACAAUUGCAAAUGACAAUCGUGCUCCAGUUGCGAUGGCCGCGUAAGCGGUUUCAGCGACUGAAAUCUAAGUCCUUAGGCUUUGCAGCUUAAGGCGGGGUUCGCAGGUACCUGGCAACAGAAACCUG
RNAcentral lists this small RNA (273 nucleotides) under Thalassiosira minuscula. RNAcentral's name for it is "partial Alphaproteobacteria transfer-messenger RNA". It matches the Rfam family "Alphaproteobacteria transfer-messenger RNA", at positions 75 to 350 of the family's 355-position model. Rfam says of the family: Bacterial tmRNA, also known as 10Sa RNA or SsrA, is named for its dual tRNA and mRNA-like properties. Lineage: Eukaryota; Bacillariophyta; Thalassiosirophyceae; Thalassiosirales; Thalassiosiraceae. The record is from RNAcentral.